CAACAACGGAUCUCUUGGUUCCGGCAUCGAUGAAGAACGCAGCGAAAUGCGAUAAGUAGUGUGAAUUGCAGAAUUCCGUGAAUCAUCGAAUCUUUGAACGCACAUUGCGCCCUCUGGUAUUCCGGGGGGCAUGCCUGUCCGAGCGUCAUUG
Molecule: ribosomal RNA, 151 nt
Filed under: Auxarthronopsis bandhavgarhensis
Lineage: Eukaryota; Fungi; Ascomycota; Eurotiomycetes; Onygenales; Neogymnomycetaceae
Description: 5.8S ribosomal RNA
Rfam family: 5.8S ribosomal RNA
About the family: 5.8S ribosomal RNA (5.8S rRNA) is a component of the large subunit of the eukaryotic ribosome. It is transcribed by RNA polymerase I as part of the 45S precursor that also contains 18S and 28S rRNA. Functionally, it is thought that 5.8S rRNA may be involved in ribosome translocation.
Source: RNAcentral